GAUGAAGAACGCAGCGAAAUGCGAUACUUGGUGUGAAUUGCAGAAUUCCGUGAAUCAUCGAGUCUUUGAACGCACAUUGCGCCCCCUGGUAUUCCGGGGGGCAUGCCUGUCCGAGCGUCAUUACAACCCUCAAGCCCGGCUUGUGUAAUGGGCGGCCGUCUCUCCCCCCGGGGGGAGACGCCCCCGAAACUCAGUGGGGAUGUCGCGAUACCGAAGCCUCAGCUAAUGGGUAAACCACAGCUGCAAUGGCCGCGGCCGGCGUCCGCCUUCCACGGUCCGUCCGCCUAGCGCGGGCGGCCUUCUCAAGGUUGACCUCGGAUCAGGUAGGGAUACCCGCUGAACUUAAGCAUAUCAAUAAGCGGAGGA
This 366-nucleotide unclassified non-coding RNA is filed under the name soil metagenome. RNAcentral describes it as "partial contains 5.8S ribosomal RNA, internal transcribed spacer 2, and large subunit ribosomal RNA". The stretch from base 1 to 120 matches the Rfam family "5.8S ribosomal RNA", at positions 35 to 154 of the family's 154-position model. The record is from RNAcentral.